RNAcentral lists this transfer RNA (90 nucleotides) under Patescibacteria group bacterium. RNAcentral's name for it is "tRNA-Ser". It matches the Rfam family "tRNA". From Rfam's summary of the family: Transfer RNA (tRNA) molecules are approximately 80 nucleotides in length. Their secondary structure includes four short double-helical elements and three loops (D, anti-codon, and T loops). The record is from RNAcentral.
GGAGAGGUGGCAGAGUGGUCGAACGCGCUACCUUGGAAAGGUAGUGUGUCAGCAAUGGCACCGCGGGUUCGAAUCCCGCCCUCUCCGCCA